UGGUAGUCCACGCAGUAAACGAUGUUCACUCGCUGUCUGCGAUAUACAGUAAGCGGCUUAGCGAAAGCAUUAAGUGAACCACCUGGGGAGUACGUCGGCAACGCUGAAACUCAAAGGAAUCGACGGGGGCCCGCACAAGCGGAGGAACAUGUGGUCUAACUCGAUGAUACGCGAGGAACCUGACCUGGGCUUAAACGUAGGCUGCAUGAGGUGGAAACACCCUUCCCGUCGGGGCUACCGACAAGGUGCUGCAUGGUAGUCGUCAGCUCGUGCCGUGAGGUGUCGGGUUAAGUCCCAUAACGAGCGCAACCCUUACCGUUAGUUGCCAUCAGGUCAAGCUGGGAACUCUAACGGGACUGCCACCGUAAGGUGAGAGGAAGGUGGGGAUGACGUCAAAUCAGCACGGCCCUUAUGUCCAGGGCUACACACGUGUUACAAUGGCCGGUACAGAGGGCAGCUACACCGCGAGGUGGUGCUAAUCCUAAAAGCCGGUCCCAGUUCGGAUCGUAGUCUGCAACCCGACUACGUGAAGUUGGAUUCGCUAGUAAUCGCGCAUCAGCCAUGGCGCGGUGAAUACGUUCCCGGGCCUUGUACACACCGCCCGUCAAACCAUGGAAGCUGGGGGGACCUGAAGUCUGUCACCGAAAGGAGCGGCACUAGGGUAAACCG
Molecule: ribosomal RNA, 669 nt
Filed under: uncultured organism
Description: bacterial SSU rRNA
Rfam family: Bacterial small subunit ribosomal RNA
Source: RNAcentral